RNAcentral lists this ribosomal RNA (449 nucleotides) under uncultured prokaryote. Its description in RNAcentral is "bacterial SSU rRNA". It matches the Rfam family "Bacterial small subunit ribosomal RNA", at positions 355 to 796 of the family's 1533-position model. The record is from RNAcentral.
UGGGGAAUAUUGGACAAUGGGCGAAAGCCUGAUCCAGCAAUGCCGCGUGUGUGAAGAAGGCUCUAGGGUUGUAAAGCACUUUCAGUGGGGAAGAAAUUCGAAGGGUUAAUACCUCUUCGCGAUGACGUUACCCACAGAAGAAGCACCGGCUAACUCCGUGCCAGCAGCCGCGGUAAUACGGAGGGUGCGAGCGUUAAUCGGAAUUACUGGGCGUAAAGGGCGCGUAGGCGGUUUGGUAAGUCGGGUGUGAAAGCCCCGAGCUCAACUCGGGAACUGCAUUCGAAACUGCCUGGCUAGAGUGUGGUAGAGGGAAGCGGAAUUCCAGGUGUAGCGGUGAAAUGCGUAGAUAUCUGGAGGAACAUCAGUGGCGAAGGCGGCUUCCUGGACCAACACUGACGCUGAGGCGCGAAAGCGUGGGGAGCAAACAGGAUUAGAUACCCCCGUAGUCC